Vicia villosa (hairy vetch) is the source of this 584-nucleotide long non-coding RNA. RefSeq lists it as uncharacterized. NCBI's taxonomy places the organism in Eukaryota, Viridiplantae, Streptophyta, Magnoliopsida, Fabales, Fabaceae. The record is from RefSeq and is a predicted model, not a curated record. The transcript has 3 exons.
CUUCCUAAAUCAAGCCAAAACCUUGCAAUAGAUAUGUCAUCUCAAGAAUCAAGUCUACACGUGAAUUUCGAUCACGUCAAGCAACUGUUUGUGUAUGGCAGGUUUAGCUUCGGAAAGUUCUCAAUUUAAAGCUAAGCAGUAUGACACUAAGAUGAAUGAAUUGCUGGCAUUAUUUUCAUCCAAAUUGAAUAGGCUGCAUUAUUCUAUGUCAAAAUUGGUGAAGAAUUGGUGAAGAAUAACACUGUCAGGAAUUUGUGGAAAGUGCACAUGUUAAUAUUAUGUACUUUAGAACAAAUUAAUGUCCAUUAAUCAAUUCUAGAAGGUUGUUUUGAACCUUUAUAAUGUUUCACUAUAUUAUGUUGAAACUUUGUUUCACUGUUAAGAAUCUUUUUUCAAAGAUUAUCCUUUAAUCAUUGUGUGUAAAAAGAGAUGGUUAAUUGUUUAUGGUGAAAUGGUUGAACCGAGCUUACAUAAGUUUGAGACAGUGAAUACGGGUGGUCCGAACAUGGAGAAGCAAGAAUCUUCAGGAAGCAGCAGCUUAAGUGUCAGUAGUGCAAAACAUCGGCAACGCAUUUCUUCUUCUU